CCCUUAGAUGUUCUGGGCCGCACGCGCGCUACACUGAUGCAUUCAACAAGCCUAGCCUUGACCGAGAGGUCCGGGUAAUCUUUGAACGCUGGUCGUGAUGGGGAUAGACUUUUGCAAUUUUUGGUCUUCAACGAGGAAUUCCUAGUAAACGCAAGUCAUCAACUUGCAUUGAUUACGUCCCUGCCCUUUGUACACACCGCCCGUCGCACCUACCGAUUGAAUGGUCCGGUGAAGCCUCCGGAUUGGCGCGCACCUCGGUGCCGCCGAGAAGUUGGCUAAACCUUACCAUUUAGAGGAAGGUGAAGUCGUAACA
This 313-nucleotide ribosomal RNA is filed under the name uncultured eukaryote. RNAcentral describes it as "partial 18S ribosomal RNA". It matches the Rfam family "Eukaryotic small subunit ribosomal RNA", at positions 1470 to 1796 of the family's 1831-position model. The record is from RNAcentral.